GAUGAACGCUGGCGGCGUGCCUAAUACAUGCAAGUCGAGCGAACGGACGAGAAGCUUGCUUCUCUGAUGUUAGCGGCGGACGGGUGAGUAACACGUGGAUAACCUACCUAUAAGACUGGGAUAACUUCGGGAAACCGGAGCUAAUACCGGAUAAUAUUUUGAACCGCAUGGUUCAAAAGUGAAAGACGGUCUUGCUGUCACUUAUAGAUGGAUCCGCGCUGCAUUAGCUAGUUGGUAAGGUAACGGCUUACCAAGGCAACGAUGCAUAGCCGACCUGAGAGGGUGAUCGGCCACACUGGAACUGAGACACGGUCCAGACUCCUACGGGAGGCAGCAGUAGGGAAUCUUCCGCAAUGGGCGAAAGCCUGACGGAGCAACGCCGCGUGAGUGAUGAAGGUCUUCGGAUCGUAAAACUCUGUUAUUAGGGAAGAACAUAUGUGUAAGUAACUGUGCACAUCUUGACGGUACCUAAUCAGAAAGCCACGGCUAACUACGUGCCAGCAGCCGCGGUAAUACGUAGGUGGCAAGCGUUAUCCGGAAUUAUUGGGCGUAAAGCGCGCGUAGGCGGUUUUUUAAGUCUGAUGUGAAAGCCCACGGCUCAACCGUGGAGGGUCAUUGGAAACUGGAAAACUUGAGUGCAGAAGAGGAAAGUGGAAUUCCAUGUGUAGCGGUGAAAUGCGCAGAGAUAUGGAGGAACACCAGUGGCGAAGGCGACUUUCUGGUCUGUAACUGACGCUGAUGUGCGAAAGCGUGGGGAUCAAACAGGAUUAGAUACCCUGGUAGUCCACGCCGUAAACGAUGAGUGCUAAGUGUUAGGGGGUUUCCGCCCCUUAGUGCUGCAGCUAACGCAUUAAGCACUCCGCCUGGGGAGUACGACCGCAAGGUUGAAACUCAAAGGAAUUGACGGGGACCCGCACAAGCGGCGGAGCAUGUGGUUUAAUUCGAAGCAACGCGAAGAACCUUACCAAAUCUUGACAUCCUUUGACAACUCUAGAGAUAGAGCCUUCCCCUUCGGGGGACAAAGUGACAGGUGGUGCAUGGUUGUCGUCAGCUCGUGUCGUGAGAUGUUGGGUUAAGUCCCGCAACGAGCGCAACCCUUAAGCUUAGUUGCCAUCAUUAAGUUGGGCACUCUAAGUUGACUGCCGGUGACAAACCGGAGGAAGGUGGGGAUGACGCCAAAUCAUCAUGCCCCUUAUGAUUUGGGCUACACACGUGCUACAAUGGACAAUACAAAGGGCAGCGAAACCGCGAGGUCAAGCAAAUCCCAUAAAGUUGUUCUCAGUUCGGAUUGUAGUCUGCAACUCGACUACAUGAAGCUGGAAUCGCUAGUAAUCGUAGAUCAGCAUGCUACGGUGAAUACGUUCCCGGGUCU
RNAcentral lists this ribosomal RNA (1372 nucleotides) under uncultured bacterium. Its description in RNAcentral is "bacterial SSU rRNA". It matches the Rfam family "Bacterial small subunit ribosomal RNA", at positions 28 to 1381 of the family's 1533-position model. The record is from RNAcentral.